UACGGAGGGUGCAAGCGUUAUCCGGAUUCACUGGGUUUAAAGGGUGCGUAGGUGGGUUUGUAAGUCAGUGGUGAAUCUCCGUGCUUAACAUGGAAACUGCCAUUGAUACUAUAGAUCUUGAAUUUUCUGGAGGAUAGCGGAAUAUGUCAUGUAGCGGUGAAAUGCUUAGAUAUGACAUAGAACACCAAUUGCGAAGGCAGCUAUCUACAGGGAUAUGACACUGAGGCACGAAAGCGUGGGGGAUCAAACCGGA
Molecule: ribosomal RNA, 253 nt
Filed under: uncultured bacterium
Lineage: Bacteria
Description: partial 16S ribosomal RNA
Rfam family: Bacterial small subunit ribosomal RNA
Source: RNAcentral